Molecule: non-coding RNA, 948 nt
Organism: Cinara cedri
Lineage: Eukaryota; Metazoa; Arthropoda; Insecta; Hemiptera; Aphididae
Source: the annotation of a GenBank genome assembly
UUUUUUGUUAAGUGAGUGAGAAUAAAACUGAUGUCUGAAAUGUGGUUGCUAUUUGUAUAGUAUAAUGUUUGCUACAAAAACAGAAAAUAGUACUAAUCACACUAUUAUAUUGAAAAAUGUAUAUUAUCUCAAAUACUUUUAAUGAUUAUGGAUAUGCUACAGGUAUAUAACGAAUCUGCUAUGAAAAUAUAAAUAAAUUUCCUCACAUGCAAUAAUAACAUCAUAAAUGACAAUAUCGACAUAAUGAAUAUAUCUCGUUAUGACAGUUCGUCAAUUUCAGUUUUAUUGUAUGUUUGAACAGAUACAAAAAUGCCUUUAUAAUUUAUUGUUAGCCAAAACAACAGAAAAACCGCAAAAAGUAUGAUGACUACAAUAAACCACUAUUUAUACUUGUCAGUGAGUAUGACAAGAAUAUAUGUACAAUUCAUUACAUUAUGAAUAUAUAUAUGAUUAUUUUAAGGAUUGCCCACAAUCUUAAAUUGCAACUUAAAACUAUUUAUUUAUUUAAUUUUUGUUAGACUUAAUUUUAAUUCUAUUAUGUAACAUACUCAAUUAAAACAAGAAAUAUGACAAAAAUAUAAACAAUUAUACAUACAAAUAUUUUUUUUAAAAGUAUCUGUAUAAAAAUAAUAUUAAUGUUAGUCCUAAAAAUUUUUUCUUUGAGAGACAUUCAUUUCGAAGAUAUUUCCGUUAGAAAUAUUUUUUACAAGAGAAUUUUGACUGCUUGCCUAUGGACGUAGUCAAUGUAUUUUGCACGUUUACAAACUCAUUUUGUCUUUUAUAAACUGUGUGAUAAAAAUGAUUUCGUUUUAAUAUAAUGUAUUAUUUAUAUUUUCAAAAUAUUGUAUUAAAUAAAAUGUUAAAUUUUUAUAUUUUAAAGCAAAUUUUUUUAAUAUCAAGAUAAUGUACCUAUUUUGUUUUUGAGUAAUUAGUAACACCAAAUAUUGA